AACGGUAACAGGGUGCUUGCACCGCUGACGAGUGGCGAACGGGUGAGUAACGCAUCGGAAUGUACCGUGUAAUGGGGGAUAGCUCGGCGAAAGCCGGAUUAAUACCGCAUACGCCCUGAGGGGGAAAGUGGGGGACCGUAAGGCCUCACGUUAUACGAGCAGCCGAUGUCUGAUUAGCUAGUUGGUGAGGUAAGAGCUCACCAAGGCGACGAUCAGUAGCGGGUCUGAGAGGAUGAUCCGCCACACUGGGACUGAGACACGGCCCAGACUCCUACGGGAGGCAGCAGUGGGGAAUUUUGGACAAUGGGCGCAAGCCUGAUCCAGCCAUGCCGCGUGUCUGAAGAAGGCCUUCGGGUUGUAAAGGACUUUUGUUCGGGAGGAAAUCCCGCUGGUUAAUACCUGGCGGGGAUGACAGUACCGGAAGAAUAAGCACCGGCU
Molecule: ribosomal RNA, 438 nt
Filed under: Chromobacterium sp. A62-13
Lineage: Bacteria; Pseudomonadati; Pseudomonadota; Betaproteobacteria; Neisseriales; Chromobacteriaceae
Description: bacterial SSU rRNA
Rfam family: Bacterial small subunit ribosomal RNA
Source: RNAcentral